Molecule: long non-coding RNA, 673 nt
Filed under: Nicotiana benthamiana
Lineage: Eukaryota; Viridiplantae; Streptophyta; Magnoliopsida; Solanales; Solanaceae
Description: long non-coding RNA (NBEN_LNC012507)
Source: RNAcentral
GCUGAUGAUCCAAAGGUUAAAACAUCAGGGCAAUUGAAGGUAGAUGCUGUACAAAAAUAUGCAUUUCAAGUUAUACAACAUUUUAAAAAUGCAGAAGACAAUGUACAACCAUUUUUCCAUGACAAGGAGAAGAUAUCUGCUGCGCAAGAGAUACGACCUACUGUUGCAGCUGGUGUACUAUGUGAAAAUUCAUUAAGUCUCAAGAAGGCAGUAAUGCAUGUGGACGAGAAGGUACUUAAUACUAAAAGGAAGUUGCUACUACACCGCACAAAGCUGAUACAAAGAGCAGUAAUUGGACAGUGGUGAGUAAAUCACCUUUCAAAUAGCAAACUCCAGUUAUUCAAAUCAGAUUCAUCCAUCAACAAUUAUUGGAGUCUCGAACUCUUUUGAUGCAUUGGUCAAUGAGGGUGUGCACGAUGUGAAUGAGGCUAAAAAUAAGGAGCAACAUAGGGAGGAUGAGACACGAUCAGCUGAUGGAAAAACAAGAGUAACAACAACAACAACAACAACCACCCAAUAUAGUCCCACAAAGUUGGGUUAGGUAGACGAGCCUUACCCCUACCCGAAAGGGCAGAGAGGUUGUUUCCAAUCGACCCUCGUCUCAGUGAAGGAAAGGAAAAACAAAAACAAUAACAAAAGAGCAUUAGCAACUCCAGCAGAAAUAGCGUAAANN